GGACGAACGCUGGCGGCGCGCUUAACACAUGCAAGUCGAACGGAAAGGCCUGCUUUCCCUUGUGGAUUGCGGGUACUCGAGUGGCGAACGGGUGAGUAACACGUGAGUGAUCUGCCCCCAACUUGGGUAUAAGCCUGGGAAACUGGGUCUAAUUCCCGAUAGGACUGCAGGGUGGUGCCUGUGGUGGAAAACGAUUUUCUAGUGGUUGGGGAUGAGCUCGCGGCCUAUCAGCUUGUUGGUGGGGUAAUGGCCUACCAAGGCGGCGACGGGUAGCCGGCCUGAGAGGGUGGACGGCCACAUUGGGACUGAGAUACGGCCCAGACUCCUACGGGAGGCAGCAGUGGGGAAUAUUGCACAAUGGGCGGAAGCCUGAUGCAGCGACGCCGCGUGGGGGAUGACGGCCUUCGGGUUGUAAACUCCUUUCGACCGCGAGGAAGCCACCUGGUUGGAAGGGUGGUGACGGUAGUGGUAGAAGAAGCACCGGCUAACUACGUG
RNAcentral lists this ribosomal RNA (495 nucleotides) under uncultured bacterium. RNAcentral describes it as "partial 16S ribosomal RNA". It matches the Rfam family "Bacterial small subunit ribosomal RNA", at positions 27 to 507 of the family's 1533-position model. The record is from RNAcentral.